UAUUAGGUUGGUGCAAAAGUAAUCGCGGUUUCUGUCAUUGAAAGUAAUGGCAAAAACUGCAAUUACUUUUGCACCAACCUAAAA
RNAcentral lists this microRNA precursor (84 nucleotides) under Nomascus leucogenys (northern white-cheeked gibbon). RNAcentral describes it as "mir-548 microRNA precursor family". It matches the Rfam family "mir-548 microRNA precursor family". The record is from Rfam by way of RNAcentral. Lineage: Eukaryota; Metazoa; Chordata; Mammalia; Primates; Hylobatidae.